AUUGAACGCUGGCGGCAGGCCUAACACAUGCAAGUCGAACGAGUGGCGGACGGGUGAGUAAUGUCUGGGAAACUGCCCGAUGGAGGGGGAUAACAACUGGAAACGGUAGCUAAUACCGCAUACCAUCGGAGGUGCCCAGAUGGGCUUGGCUAGUAGGUGGGGUAAAGGCUCACCUAGGCGACGAUCCCUAGCUGGUCUGAGAGGAUGACCAGCCACACUGGACUGGAGACACGUUCCAGACCCCUACGGGAGGCAGCCGUGGGGAUUAUUGCACAAUGGGCGCAAGCCUGAUGCACCCAUGCCGCGUGUAGGAGGAGGGCCUUCGUGUUGUAAAGUACUUUCAGCGGGGAGGCGUUACCCGCAGAGGAAGCACCGGCUAACUCCGUGCCAGCAGCCGCGGUAAUAC
This 406-nucleotide ribosomal RNA is filed under the name uncultured bacterium. RNAcentral's name for it is "partial 16S ribosomal RNA". It matches the Rfam family "Bacterial small subunit ribosomal RNA", at positions 30 to 526 of the family's 1533-position model. The record is from RNAcentral.